GACGAACGCUGGCGGCGUGCUUAACACAUGCAAGUCGAACGGAAAGGCCCUGCUUUUGUGGGGUGCUCGAGUGGCGAACGGGUGAGUAACACGUGAGUAACCUGCCCUUGACUUUGGGAUAACUUCAGGAAACUGGGGCUAAUACCGGAUAGGAGCUCCUGCUGCAUGGUGGGGGUUGGAAAGUUUCGGCGGUUGGGGAUGGACUCGCGGCGUAUCAGCUUGUUGGUGGGGUAGUGGCUUACCAAGGCUUUGACGGGUAGCCGGCCUGAGAGGGUGACCGGCCACACUGGGACUGAGAUACGGCCCAGACUCCUACGGGAGGCAGCAGUGGGGAAUAUUGCACAAUGGGCGGAAGCCUGAUGCAGCAACGCCGCGUGCGGGAUGACGGCCUUCGGGUUGUAAACCGCUUUCGCCUGUGACGAAGCGUGAGUGACGGUAACGGGUAAAGAAGCACCGGCUAACUACGUG
RNAcentral lists this ribosomal RNA (468 nucleotides) under uncultured bacterium. RNAcentral describes it as "partial 16S ribosomal RNA". It matches the Rfam family "Bacterial small subunit ribosomal RNA", at positions 28 to 507 of the family's 1533-position model. The record is from RNAcentral.